RNA transcript from Gossypium arboreum, 2963 nucleotides. It is a transcript of the gene named heterogeneous nuclear ribonucleoprotein 1-like, with no coding region annotated. The record is from RefSeq and is a predicted model, not a curated record. NCBI's taxonomy places the organism in Eukaryota, Viridiplantae, Streptophyta, Magnoliopsida, Malvales, Malvaceae. The transcript has 7 exons.
UUAAAUUAUUUUUAAACAAAUAUUUAAGAACUUUACUCGAUGAAGAUUUUUAGUUCUUGUCUUUUAUAGCAAUUCCUCUCUCAUCUAUAUUUGAAACCCUGCCUCUGUUCCAGCGAAACUCCAAACCCUAGAGACUAACCAUUCGCAUAUCUCUCGUUAGAUCCCAAAACCAAGCUUUCAUGAGUUCCAGAAAAGGCAGUGAUAACAACGGCGCUAGCCCUGGGAAAAUAUUUAUCGGAGGCUUAGCUAAGGAUACGACUCUCGAGACGUUCACCAAGUAUUUUGAAAAAUAUGGGGAGAUAACCGAUUUUGUUAUAAUGAAAGAUCGGCAUACGGGUCGGCCCCGUGGUUUCGGCUUCAUUACCUUUGCGGAUCCAUCUGUUGUUGACACUGUUUUGCAAGAGGACCAUGUUAUUAAUGGCAAACAAGUUGAGAUUAAAAGAACUAUUCCUAAAGGUUCUUCACAGUCAAAUGAUUUCAAGACAAAGAAAAUAUUUGUUGGUGGGAUUCCAACAUCAGUUACUGAAGAUGAGUUCAAGAAUUUCUUCUCAAAGUAUGGAAAGGUGGUGGAACAUGAGAUCAUUCGUGACCAUGCAACCAAACGCUCUCGUGGUUUUGGGUUUAUAGUGUUUGACAAUGAAAAAGUUGUUGAAAAUUUGCUGGGAAAUGGAAAUAUGAUAGAUAUGGAGGGUAGUCAGGUUGAAAUCAAGAAGGCUGAGCCAAAGAAAGCAUCAAACCCACCACCUGGUCCUGCAUACAGUAGUGAACCUAGGGCACGCUCAUAUCAUGAUGAUUUUGGUGGAUUUGGUGAUUAUGGUGGCUUUGGUGGUGGUGCUUUUGGUCCUGCUCCUUAUAGGUCGUAUGGAGGUUUUGGCAUUAGAUUUGGAGAUUAUGGUGGUUAUGGUGCUGCUGCUGAUUUUGGUGGUAGUUAUGGGGGGUUUGGUGGUGGUGCUGGUGGUUUUUCUGGUUAUCGUGGGGAUUCAUCAUUCGGUUAUUCUAGUCGAUUUGGUUCUUAUGGUGGGUUUAGUGGGAGUGGUAUAGGUCCCUAUGGUCGUGGAGGUGGAGGCUAUGGAAGUUAUGGUGGUUCAGGCUCUAGUGGUAGUUAUGAUACUGGCCCUGGUGCUGGCUUUGGCGGCCCAGGUGGAUUUUAUGGUAGUAGAACGGGAUAUGGAGGCAGUAGUCGCUAUCAUCCUUAUGCAAGAUAGAACGUGUUUAAGAUCUUCCAUAGAAGUUGCGCUGGGUUUCCAGAAUUUCAGCAUUUCUCAUCACUUGGUUCAGUAGGCACUGUGCACUUUUGCAAGUUGGCACUACCUAGCAGAUCAAAGGAACUAUUAGAUUUGCUUGUCUUCAGUCUAUUGGUUAGAGAACCUGAGUUUUAGAUCCUUUCAUGUACACCAUUUAUUGUUUCGAGGAAAGCGAGAUGAAAUUAAAAGAAUCGUCCAUGCUUUAUAACCAUAAAUUGAAAAGCAGGGGUGAGAUGGAAACUGUGGUUAUGGCUGUAUCUAAGUUGCUUGUGCUAAUCUAAGGUGGUGCAUGUGCUUUGUCAGGCUGGUUUGAACUGCAAGUUAUAUUCUUCAAGUCAGAUUAGAUGCCAUUUCUUAUGCGUGAAUGUGUAUGGCUAUGUAUCACUUCACUGUGUCAUGAAUACUUGUUUACUCAAAAUGCAGUGUCUCCUUAAUGCUGGAAUAUGCUGUUUAUUGUUUCAAGGGAAUGAGGUACCCUAAGCUUUGAUGUUGAAUUUUUUAUGUCAAGUAGGCAGUAACUAGUGCAACGAGACAUAAAUAUGUAAAUCUUAUUCAAGGUGGAUAUAUGUUAUUUAGAAGCGUCUUUUUUUAGGAAGUAUUUAACGUUUAAUUUUCCCCUUUCAUAAAGAUGUUAUAGUCCAUUUAGAAUCUUUUUAAGCUUUGUGAAAUUAUUAACCAUAUAUAUAUGUUGCAUUUUGGAAGUAAAAGACUGUCUGCCUAAGCUUGCUUGCAUUAAUUGAAGUUCCGAACUUACGAUGAUAUCUUUCAGGUUCAAGAGAAAGUUGAAGUUGCAACAUGAUACGCAUUAGUGUUUUUUUUAUCUAGGAAAUAUACAGGAAGCUGAAAAGAUGACGAGCCUUGAAAAAUGAGUGUAAAUGUUCAAAUCCAAUGUACAACUGUAAAAUGCUAAAGCAUAAACAGAUCUGUAAUCUCGGGGAGAAAAAAGCAUCUGCAGAUAAGAAUUAUUUGAAGUUUUAGAGUAUUUUUGGGUGUGCUUAGUUGAGAGGAAUGUGUUGAAAAGUGGAAGGAAAAUAAAUUGAGUAUACUUGAUAGGGAAGAAAAGUGAAAAGGAAAUAGGAGAGAUCAUCAUUUUUAUUUUUAUCUUAAUGCUAGAUUAGAAAGAUACGAGAAAAUGAGGUGUGUGAAUGUUAAUUUAGAAUUUAUGUAUUUUUAAAUGUUCUAUUUUUCUUUUUAUUUUAACUUUACUAAAUAAUAUUUGAUUGAAUCUUAAUUUGGUUGGUAUCGACAUUAUUGUUAAUGUGGAAGGAUCUAAGUUUAAGUAUGUUAGGAUUUAAGUUUAAGUAUGUUGAAGUGUAUUUAUUUUUCUAUUUAAAAAUUGUGAAAGAAUUAUAAAUAGUUUUAGGCGUAUUUGUAUACAAAAAUCUACUAAGGAGAAAGAAUAACAUUCUCUUUUUCAUCUUUCUUAAUAAGUACAUUUAUGGAUAAUUAUUUUCAUCCUUUUAAGUUUCUACUUAAAUUAUCCUUAGUAAUUGUUUUUGCACUUUACUAAGCAAAGGUUUAGUCAAGAUCAUGGUAGUCACUACUAUAUUUGUAUGUUUCAUUUUUAAAUUGUUAUUAAGUAGUCUAUGUUUUCUUUUGGUUAACAUUUCGGUUGAUUUUGGUCAUUUUAGUGCGUUUGACCUAACACGGUCAAUAUUGUCUUGUAUUGUACAUAUUGAUCUAUAUCAAUUAGUACAAAAUUUUGAUAUUUUAAACAAA